AAACAUUAGCUCCAAUAAAUGUUCAAAAUAUAAGACAGCCACCUUCAAAUAGAAAUUAAAUAACAACUAAAGCAUCCAAUGGAACAUAAUUUCACUCUUCAUCACUAAAUGUUUCCUCAUAAACAUGACUUUAUCCAAAACAAAACCUCAUACCAUUACAAAUUGCCUUUUAAGCAGAAGCUACUGCAACCUUCUUUCUUGGUGCUGCUUUAGUAGCUAUACAUCACCCCCAAUAAAAAAUAAGAACAUUUUGAAAGAAAAAAUAAAAUCCAAAAUUUCUUACAGGAACAGAAAUACGCAAUGGAACUAAAAUCAGAAUGCAAUGAGCCUAAGGACAUUAGCAUUUUCCUACCUUCCCUGAAACCUGUCUUGAACCUACGAGGAACGUGGCGAAGAUACCUCUAUACACCGGUGAUGGAGAUGUUAGCCUCAUCUAAUUAAAACCAACAGCUAGAAACACAAAUAAUCACACAAGUUAAAAAACCCAAAAUAAGUACUUAAACACUUCAAUUUGCAACAUUUAAGCACUUCAAUUUACAACAUUUAAACACUUCAAUUUGCAGCAUUUAAACACUUCAAUUUGCAGCACUUUAACAUCUCAAUUACCAACAUUUAUACACCUCAAUUACAGCGAUAAAACAUCUCAAUGUCCAGCAACUAAACACUUCAAUUUGCAGUACUUAAACACUUCAAUUUGCAACAUUUAAGCCCUUCAAUUUACAGCAUUUAAACACUUCAAUUUACAGCAUUCAAACACUUCAAUUUGUAGCACUUUAACACUUCAAUUUACAGCAUUCAAACACUUCAAUUUGUAGCACUUUAACACUUCAAUUUACAGCAUUUCAACACUUCAAUUUACAGCAUUCAAACACUUCAAUUUGCAGCACUUUAACACUUCAAUUUACAGCAUUAAAACACUUCAAUUUGCAGCACUUUAACAUUUCAAUUAACAACAUUUAAACACUACAAUUUACAGCAUUCAAACACUUCAAUUUGCAGCACUUUAACACUUCAAUUUACAGCAUUAAAACACUUCAAUUUGCAGCACUUUAACAUUUCAAUUAACAACAUUUAUACACCUCAAUUACAACAAUAAAACAUCUCAAUUUCCAGCAACUAAAC
RNAcentral lists this long non-coding RNA (1122 nucleotides) under Gossypium barbadense (sea-island cotton). RNAcentral's name for it is "long non-coding RNA (GBAR_LNC002753)". The record is from RNAcentral. Lineage: Eukaryota; Viridiplantae; Streptophyta; Magnoliopsida; Malvales; Malvaceae.